This is a non-coding RNA of Macaca mulatta (Rhesus monkey), 248 nucleotides long. NCBI's taxonomy places the organism in Eukaryota, Metazoa, Chordata, Mammalia, Primates, Cercopithecidae. The record is from RefSeq and is a predicted model, not a curated record.
CCAGAGGUGGCAGGCGGGAGCUCAUCGAUGAAUCUGCCAGUGUCAGUCCCAGAGCGGACCCCAGAGGUGUUCAGGCGUGGACUCGCACUAUCUGACAUUUCCAUCGAUGGCCUGCAUGAGGAAUGAACGGUCAGAUAGGAAGAUGAGGGAAGGAGCCCUAAGGCUGUUUCAACUAUCAAUCCCAGAACUUCCCAGAUCAGGCCGGAAGCCAGCAAUGAAAAAGAACACUGCCUGGGCCAGGCGCGGUG